This 781-nucleotide ribosomal RNA is filed under the name uncultured Neocallimastigales. RNAcentral's name for it is "partial large subunit ribosomal RNA". It matches the Rfam family "Eukaryotic large subunit ribosomal RNA", at positions 24 to 644 of the family's 3401-position model. Lineage: Eukaryota; Fungi; Neocallimastigomycota; Neocallimastigomycetes; Neocallimastigales. The record is from RNAcentral.
UAUCUCUGUAGAGUCUGCAUAUCAAUAAGCGGAGGAAAAGAAACUAACUAAGGAUUCCCUCAGUAACGGCGAGUGAAGCGGGAAGAGCUCAAGUUUGAAAUCUUCAAGGUUCUACCUUGACGAAUUGUAGUUUAAAGAAGUGUUUUCUGUUGAAGUUUUGGUAAAAGUUCUUUGGAAUAGGACAUCAUAGAGGGUGAGAAUCCCGUAUUUGACCAUUAUUUUCCAGCUGUGUGAUACACUUUCAAAGAGUCGGAUUGUUUGGGAAUGCAGUCCAAAAUGGGUGGUAAGUUUCAUCUAAAGCUAAAUAUUGGCGAGAGACCGAUAGCGAACAAGUACCGUGAGGGAAAGAUGAAAAGAACUUUGAAAAGAGAGUUAAACAGUACGUGAAAUUGUCAAAAGGGAAGCGUUUGACACCAGUGUUGUUUUCUCGAAAAUCAAUUAAAAAGGCAGUGAUUUUGUGUUGUAUUGACCUUUAAUCAGCUUCUGCACUUCAAUUUUCUUGUCUUUUUUUAAUGCACUUUUCGUUUAACAAGUCAACAUCAGUUUCUUUUGUUGUAAAAGGGUCAUUGGAAGGUGGCUUUCUUUUCGGAGAAAGUGUUUAUAGCCUUUGCCUCUGCAAUCGGAGAGAUUGAGGUCUGCAGCGUAGAUCCUUCGGGGUUAGAUACAUUUGUGCUAAGUUAUAGCCUUUUCAUAGACAACUUGUUGACUAUGAUCAGUCAUGUAGCUUACUCGCUUAUGCUAUUUUACCUACGCUUAGGAUGUUGAAGAUAUGCGCGACACG